CCCUAGAAUGAAGUCACGUACAUGUUUGUC
RNAcentral lists this non-coding RNA (30 nucleotides) under Rattus norvegicus (Norway rat). The record is from RNAcentral. Lineage: Eukaryota; Metazoa; Chordata; Mammalia; Rodentia; Muridae.